UUGUAAGGAGCAUUAGUGUGCUGAGGGUUACACCCUGAAGAAGGCUUUUGUGCUGAAAUUUGUGGGCUGUAACCCACUUUCAUCAUGUUUUAACCUUUUCUAUAUGAAACAGCCAUUUUUUAAACAAAGGCUUUCUAUACAUUUAAAGACGAGUGCCUUGGAUUUCCCUUUUUUGAUAUCCACUCACAGUGCCAAAGAACUUCACUGGCCUGCACAGAGCCCUGAUCUCAACCCUAUCCAACACCUUUGGGAUGAGCUGGAACAUCGACUACAAGCCUGGUCUCAUAUCAGUGCCUGACCUCACUAAUGCUCUUGUGGCUCAGUGGCAGAAAAUCCCUGCUGCCAGGGAUAAAGAAAGCAAUGGGAGGAGAGGGUGAAGAGGUUGACACUGCACUCAUCCUCCUCCUCUGGGGUCCAGAGCAGCACAUCAUUUAUCAUCAGCUGGCAGGAUGUUUCUCAGAGAAAACAUCCACCGUGGAGAAUGCAUUCAUCUGCCUGCGUCUGAUAAUGAAACCGAAAUCUGACUGUGCAGCUGAUCAAAGCUGAACCUUAGCUGUACUGUGCAUCAACAUCCCGUGGUCCGUCCUCUCUGAUCAUGUUCAUUAAUUUUAAUAAAAACAAUUUUAAAAUAA
Molecule: long non-coding RNA, 632 nt
Organism: Epinephelus lanceolatus (giant grouper)
Lineage: Eukaryota; Metazoa; Chordata; Actinopteri; Perciformes; Serranidae
Source: RefSeq, a predicted model, not a curated record